GAUUCAACGAGAAGGAAACUAUUUGAGAGACCAAAGUUUGUGCGUUUUGAGACAGAGAAGGGAGAGAUAAUCCGCCAUUAAACAGUAUGCCUACUCUCACGAAGCUCUACACAAUGGACGAAGCUUCCCAACACAACACGAAGGAUGAUUGCUGGAUCGUUAUUGAUGGCAAGGUGUAUGAUGUGAGUUCAUAUUUGGAUGAGCACCCGGGUGGAGAUGAUGUUGUCCUUGCUACAACUGGGAAAGAUGCAACAGAUGAUUUUGAAGACGCUGGCCACAGCCAAGAAGCAAGGGAACUAUUACAAAGCUUCUGCAUUGGUGAGCUUGACCCGUCUGCCCCAGUUAUCCCAGAACUUGAAAUUUCCUCCAAGAAACAGCCAGCAGUUAACUCCCAGAAGCUCCAGGACUUGACAAAGCAAUAUUGGGCAGUUCCUGUAGCCAUUGCUGGUAUCUCUGUGGUAGUUGGCUUCUUGUACUUGCGUAAGAAGUAGAGCAAAUCCAAAGUUUCCGUCUCCGUUGCUGAGAAGAAAUUAUUGUUACAAUUUUGAACAACUAGGACAAUGAUUGAGGUGAAUGUUCUAUCAUUAUUUGUAAUUUUUCUUUUCUUCUUUUUGGUUCUUGCAGAAUGCCUGCAUCUCAUUUAUAAGAAUUGGAAGAUAAAUGGAUUGGGAAAUACACUCUAAUUUUCAUAUCAGAAGUUUGGAAGGCCUAUCUAAAUGAACAUCAAAUAUCC
RNAcentral lists this unclassified non-coding RNA (733 nucleotides) under Hevea brasiliensis (rubber tree). The record is from RNAcentral. Lineage: Eukaryota; Viridiplantae; Streptophyta; Magnoliopsida; Malpighiales; Euphorbiaceae.